RNAcentral lists this signal recognition particle RNA (97 nucleotides) under Parashewanella spongiae. Its description in RNAcentral is "Shewanella spongiae Bacterial small signal recognition particle RNA". It matches the Rfam family "Bacterial small signal recognition particle RNA". Rfam says of the family: The signal recognition particle (SRP) is a universally conserved ribonucleoprotein involved in the co-translational targeting of proteins to membranes. Archaeal SRP consists of a 7S RNA and homologues of the eukaryotic SRP19 and SRP54 proteins. Lineage: Bacteria; Pseudomonadati; Pseudomonadota; Gammaproteobacteria; Alteromonadales; Shewanellaceae. The record is from Rfam by way of RNAcentral.
CUAGGGUCCCUUCGCAAUGAUAAUUCGUGAACUCGGCCAGAUCCGGAAGGAAGCAACCGCAGCGAAUGACUCAUGUGCCGGAGUGUGGCUCUAGAGG